Molecule: ribosomal RNA, 253 nt
Filed under: uncultured bacterium
Lineage: Bacteria
Description: partial 16S ribosomal RNA
Rfam family: Bacterial small subunit ribosomal RNA
Source: RNAcentral
UACAGAGGGGGCAAGCGUUGUUCGGAAUUACUGGGCGUAAAGGGCGCGUAGGCGGCCUGCUAAGUCGAACGUGAAAUCCCUGGGCUCAACCCAGGAACUGCGUCCGAUACUGGUUGGCUUGAAUCCGGGAGAGGGAUGUGGAAUUCCAGGUGUAGCGGUGAAAUGCGUAGAUAUCAGGAAGAACACCCGUGGCUAAGGCGGCUCUCUAGUACGGUACUGACGCUGAGACGCGAAAGCGUGGGGAGCGAACAGG